AGAGUUUGAUCCUGGCUCAGAACGAACGCUGGCGGCGCGUUUUAAGCAUGCAAGUCGAACGGUACGGCAGUCUUCGGACUGCCCGAGAGUGGCGAACGGGUGAGUAACACGUAGGUAAUCUACCGUAAAGUUGGGGAUAGCCUGUGGAAACACGGGGUAAUACCGAAUAAUACCUGAGGGGGAAAGGUGCUACGGCCCCGCUUUACGAUGAGCCUGCGGUCCAUUAGCUAGGUGGUGGGGUAAAGGCCUACCAAGGCGACGAUGGAUAGCCGGCCUGAGAGGGUGACCGGCCACACUGGGACUGAGACACGGCCCAGACUCCUACGGGAGGCAGCAGCUAAGAAUCUUCCGCAAUGGUCGAAAGGCUGACGGAGCGACGCCGCGUGGACGAUGAAGGCCGGAAGGUUGUAAAGUCCUUUUGCAGAUGAAGAAUAAGGUGAGGAGGGAAUGCCUCAUCGAUGACGUUAAUCUGCGAAUAAGCCCCGGCUAAUUACGCGCCAGCAGCCGCGGUAACACGUAAGGGGCAAGCGUUGUUCGGAAUUAUUGGGCGUAAAGGGCGUGUAGGCGGCUUUACAAGCCUGGUGUGAAAGGCCACCGCUUAACGGUGGGAGUGCGCUGGGAACUGUAUGGCUAGAGUUCACGAGGGGAAGCUGGAAUUCCUGGUGUAGGGGUGAAAUCUGUAGAUAUCAGGAAGAACACCGGUG
RNAcentral lists this ribosomal RNA (704 nucleotides) under uncultured Spirochaetota bacterium. RNAcentral's name for it is "bacterial SSU rRNA". It matches the Rfam family "Bacterial small subunit ribosomal RNA", at positions 8 to 714 of the family's 1533-position model. Lineage: Bacteria; Pseudomonadati; Spirochaetota. The record is from RNAcentral.